CCCAGUCCGUGUAUUUGUACUGUGGGAUUCCAGUUCCAUGUUUUACAGUAGCUAGACAGUGCGAGGGACAUGUGAAAAAUGUAAGGCCAGCAUACUUCUGAGUAAAGGUAAACUAAAGUAUACAAAUGCCCCGACCUCAGUUCUUAUAACAAUAAGCAAUCUCAACAGUCGUAUGUUAUUGGCGACGAGUGAAACGCACAAGAGAAGAAUGCAAUUUACAAGACGAACUACGUGCGUACGGCAGUGACCUCAAUGGUUUUCUACAGUCUCUCCCUCAACACCACCAACAUGAACGGCGACUCCUACCUCAACUACUUUAACUCGGCACUAACAAGAUUGUGACCUACAUGAGUACCGGAGUUCUGAAUCGCCGUUCCCGGCGACCCACAAUCCUCUUCUACUUGCUGCUUUUCUGUGGCAUUCAUGCUGCUGUUCAUCAAGCUGGUCCAAGGGGAUCUGUGUCUGUUUUGAACCCCAGUGAUCUGUAACCAAAGCGAAAUUAUGUUUUCCCCCCUACCUAAUACCUCAAGGUCUUGUGUAGUACAUUAUCUAUUACACAUUAUACACUGGAUGGUUCGAGCCCUGAAUGCUGUUUGACUGACAGCCGUGGUAUAUCAGACCGUAUACCACAGCCCUGCUCCUGUGUCCCCUCAGAUCAGCACAUCCUGUCCCAGGUACUGGCGUUGCUGGGCGUGUUGGGGGCAUACUGUUUCCUCUACCUCUUAUCCACUGAGCUCUUGCCAACUGUGGUCAGGAACAUGGGCCUGGGUAUGGCCUGGGCAUGGAAGCACGCAUAGAAAGCAUCCUCUCCCCCUACGUCAUCUACAUCAGUGUGGGGGGGGGGGGUUCGUGUGUGUUUGUGGAAGAUUUCAUGCAUUAGCAAGAAUGAAUGUACACUGAACACAAAUAUACAUGCGUCAUACACAUGUUGGUCCCAUGUUUCAUGAGCUGAAAUAAAAAAAAUCACAAAUGUUCCAUAUGCACAAAAAGCUUAUUUCUCUCAAAUUUUGUGCAGAAAUGUGUUUCUACCCCUGUUAAUGAGCAUUUCUCCUUUGCCAAGAUAAUCAAUCCACCUGACAGGUGUGGCAUAUCAAGAAGCUGAUUAAACAGCAUGAUCAUUACACAGGUGCACCUUGUGCUGUAGACAA
Molecule: long non-coding RNA, 1148 nt
Organism: Oncorhynchus tshawytscha (Chinook salmon)
Lineage: Eukaryota; Metazoa; Chordata; Actinopteri; Salmoniformes; Salmonidae
Source: Ensembl